AAACAGCAAAUAGCUUUGUUAGUGUUCCUAUGUUCAAAAUGAGUCACAAUCCAAAUCCUUUGACUAAAUUUAAGAGUUAGAGAUGGAUUAAGAGUGUUUAGACAAUACUUAUACCCAUUUUCUCCUAAAAGAGACUAAAACCAGCAAAAAUUUGUUUAAAAGCAGUAAAUAGCUUUGUUAGUGUUUCUAUGGUCAAAACGUGUCACAAUCCAAAGCAUUUGACUAAUUAUAAGAUUUAUAGAUGGAUUAGGAGUGUUUAGACAAUACUUAUACCUAUUUUCUCCUAAAAUAGGCUAAAACCAAUAAAAAAUUGCUUAGAAGCAGUAAAUAGCUUUGUUAGUGUUUCCAUGGUCAAGAUGUAUCACGAUCCAAUGUAUUUGACUAAUUCUAUCAGUUAAAGAUGGAUUAGGAAUGUUUACACAACACUUAUACCCAUUUUGUCCUAAAAGAGGCUAAAACCAACAAAAAAUUGCUUAGAAGUAGUAAAUAGCUUUGUUAGUGCUUCUAUGGUCAAAAUGUGUCAUAAUCCAAUGCAUUUGACUAAUUAUAAGAGAUAAAGAUAGAUUAAGAGUGUUUGGACAACACUUAUACCCAUUUUCUCCCAGAAGAGGCUAAAACCAACAAAAAAAAACUAAGAAACAGUAAAUAACUUUGUUAGUGUUUCUAUGGUCAAAAUGUGUCACAAUCCAAAGCCUUUAACUAAUUAUAAGAGUUAGAGAUGGAUUAGGAGUGUUUAUACAAUACUUAUACCCAUUUUCUCCCAAAAGAGGCUAAAACCAACAAAACAUUGCUUAGAAGCAGUAAAUAGCUUUGUUAGUGUUUCUAUGGUCAAAAUGUGUCACAAUCCAAAGCCUUUGACUAAGUAUAAGAGUUAGAGAUGGAUUAAGAAUGUUUAGACAACACUUAUACCCAUUUUCUCCCAAAAGAGGCUAAAACCAACAAAAUUUGCUUAGAAGCAGUAAAUAGCUUUGUUUGUGUUUCUAUGGUCAAAAUGUGUCACAAUCCAAUGCAUUUGACUAAUGAUAAGAGUUUGGGAUGGAUUAGGAGUGUUUAGACAACACUUAUACCCAUUUUCUCCCAAAAGAGGCUAAUACCAACAAACAAAUUGCUUAACAACAGUUAACAGUUUUGAUAGUGUUUUUAUGGCAAAAUAUUUCACAAUCCAAUGCAUUUGACUAAUGCUAAGAGUUUGAGAUGGAUUAGAAGUGUUUAGACAACACUUAUACCCAUUUUCUCCCAAAAGAGGCUAAAACCUACAAAACAUUGCUUAGAAACAGUAAACGGUUUUGAUAGUGUUUUUAAGGCAAAAUGUUUUACAAUCCAAUGCAUUUGUAUAUUAUAAGAGUUAGAGAUGGAUUAGGAGUGUUUAGACAACACUUAUACCUAUUUUCUCCCAAAUGAGGCGAAAACCAACAAAUAAUUGUUUAGAAGCAGUAAAUAGCUUUUUUAGUGUUUCUCUAGUCAAAAUGUGUCACAAUCCAAAUCCUUUGGACUAAUUAUAAGAAUUAGAGAUGGAUUAAGAGUGUUUAGACAACACUUAUACCAAUUUUCUCCUAAAAGAGUCUUAAACCAACAAAAAAUUGCUUAAAAGCAGUAACAGUUUAGUUCGUGUUUUUAUGGUCAAAAUGUGUCACAAUCCAAUGCAUUUCACUAAUUAUAAGAGUUUAAGAUGGAUUAGAAGUGUUUACACAACACUUAUACCCAUUUUCUCCCAAAAGAGGCUAAAACCAACAAAAAUUGUUUUGAAACAAUAGACAGUUUUGUUAGUGUUUUUAUGGUAAAAAUGUGUCACAAUCCAAUGCAUUUGACUAAUUAUAAGAGUUAGAGAUGGAUUAGGAGUGUUUAGACAACACUUAUACCCAUUUUCUAUUAAAACAGGCUAAAACCAACAAAAAAUUGCUUGAAGCAGUAAAUAGCUUUGUUAGUGUUUCUAUGUUCAAAAUGAGUCACAAUCCAAAUCCUUUGACUAAAUUUAAGAGUUAGAGAUGGAUUAAGAGUGUUUAGACAAUACUUAUACCCAUUUUCUCCUAAAAGAGACUAAAACCAGCAAAUAUUUGUUUAAAAGCAGUAAAUAGUUUUGUUAGUGUUUUUAUGGUAAAAAUAUGUCACAAUCCAAUGCAUUUGACUAAUUAUAAGAGUUAGAGAUGGAUUAGGAGUGUUUAGACAACACUUAUACCCAUUUUCUCUUAAAACAGGCUAAAACCAACAAAAAAUUGCUUGAAGCAGUAAAUAGCUUUGUUAGUGUUCCUAUGUUCAAAAUGAGUCACAAUCCAAAUCCUUUGACUAAAUUUAAGAGUUAGAGAUGGAUUAAGAGUGUUUAGACAAUACUUAUACCCAUUUUCUCCUAAAAGAGACUAAAACCAGCAAAAAUUUGUUUAAAAGCAGUAAAUAGUUUUGUUAGUGUUUUUAUGGUCAAAAUGUGUCACAAUCCAAAGCAUUUGACUAAUUAUAAGAGUUAUAGAUGGACUAGGAGUGUUUAGACAACACUUAUACCUAUUUUCUCCUAAAAUAGGCUAAAACCAAUAAAAAAUUGCUUAGAAGCAGUAAAUCGCUUUGUUAGUGUUUCCAUGGUCAAAAUGUAUCACGAUCCAAUGUAUUUGACUAAUUCUAUCAGUUAAAGACUG
Molecule: small RNA, 2624 nt
Filed under: Arabidopsis thaliana (thale cress)
Lineage: Eukaryota; Viridiplantae; Streptophyta; Magnoliopsida; Brassicales; Brassicaceae
Description: ATSL034780
Source: RNAcentral